CAGUAGCCGCGGGAAAACGUAGGGUGCAAGCGUUAAUCGGAAUUACUGGGCGUAAAGCGUGCGCAGGCGGUUAUAUAAGACAGAUGUGAAAUCCCCGGGCUCAACCUGGGAACUGCAUUUGUGACUGUAUAGCUAGAGUACGGCAGAGGGGGAUGGAAUUCCGCGUGUAGCAGUGAAAUGCGUAGAUAUGCGGAGGAACACCGAUGGCGAAGGCAAUCCCCUGGGCCUGUACUGACGCUCAUGCACGAAAGCGUGGGGAGCAAACAGGAUUAGAUACCCCCGUAGUCCCUGUCUCUUAACA
Molecule: ribosomal RNA, 301 nt
Filed under: uncultured bacterium
Lineage: Bacteria
Description: partial 16S ribosomal RNA
Rfam family: Bacterial small subunit ribosomal RNA
Source: RNAcentral